CGGAGCCCUCAGAGCGCGGCAGGGCGGCGGCAGGUGCCGUUCCCGGCCGCUGAGAGCCGCGGCCCCGCCGUGGGCUGGGCUGGCACUUCCACGGCCAUCCCUUCCCCGAGGAACUGUGAAGAGCACGGAAAUGCCGUGAUGGACGGCGACAUGGGAGUUACAGCUGAAAACGAUUCGUUUUUGUAUUUCGCUGUGCAAUAAAAGAUGAAAUGCUUAAAAGCUAAA
Pseudopodoces humilis (Tibetan ground-tit) is the source of this 225-nucleotide non-coding RNA. NCBI's taxonomy places the organism in Eukaryota, Metazoa, Chordata, Aves, Passeriformes, Paridae. The record is from RefSeq and is a predicted model, not a curated record.